RNAcentral lists this ribosomal RNA (458 nucleotides) under uncultured bacterium. RNAcentral's name for it is "bacterial SSU rRNA". It matches the Rfam family "Bacterial small subunit ribosomal RNA", at positions 32 to 507 of the family's 1533-position model. The record is from RNAcentral.
AAUCAACGCUGGCGGCGUGCCUAACACAUGCAAGUCGAACGAGAAAGGGGACUUCGGUCCCUGAGUACAGUGGCGCACGGGUGAGUAACACGUGACUUAUCUACCCUCGAGUGGGGAAAUAACUUCGGGAAACCGAGGCUAAUACCGCAUAAUACCCACGGGUCAAAGGAGCAAUUCGCUUGAGGAGGAGGUCGCGGCCCGAUUAGUUAGUUGGCGGGGUAAUGGCCCCCACCAAGACGGUGAUCGGUAUCCGGCCUGAGGAGGGCGCACGGACACACUGGAACUAGAAACACGGUCCAGACUCCGUACGGGAGGCAGCAGGUGGGGUAAUUUUGCGCAAUGGGGGAAACCCUGACGCAGCAACGCCGCGUGGAGGAUGAAGUCUCUUGGGACGUAAACUCCUUUCGAUCGGGACGAUUAUGACGGUACCGGAAGAAGAAGCCCCGGCUAACUUCGUG